GGGGCCAUAGUUAAACGGCAGAACACCUGUUUUGCAAGCAGGGGGUAUCGGUUCGAUUCCGGUUGGCUCCA
This 71-nucleotide transfer RNA is filed under the name Lotharella oceanica. RNAcentral's name for it is "tRNA-Ala". It matches the Rfam family "tRNA". From Rfam's summary of the family: Transfer RNA (tRNA) molecules are approximately 80 nucleotides in length. Lineage: Eukaryota; Cercozoa; Chlorarachniophyceae. The record is from RNAcentral.